AAGGUUCUCGUUGGUGACAGCGGAGGGUCAUUACCGAGUUUACAACUCCCAAACCCCAAUGUGAACGUUACCAAACUGUUGCCUCGGCGGGAUUUCUGCCCCGGGCGCGUCGCAGCCCCGGACCAAGGCGCCCGCCGGAGGACCAAUUUACAAACUCUUUUGUAUAUCCCAUCGCGGAUUCUUUACAUUCUGAGCUUUCUCGGCGCUCCUAGCGAGCGUUUCGAAAAUGAAUCAAAACUUUCAACAACGGAUCUCUUGGUUCUGGCAUCGAUGAAGAACGCAGCGAAAUGCGAUAAGUAAUGUGAAUUGCAGAAUUCAGUGAAUCAUCGAAUCUUUGAACGCACAUUGCGCCCGCCAGUAUUCUGGCGGGCAUGCCUGUCCGAGCGUCAUUUCAACCCUCGAACCCCUCCGGGGGGUCGGCGUUGGGGAUCGGCACUUACCUGCCGGCCCCGAAAUACAGUGGCGGUCUCGCCGCAGCCUCUCCUGCGCAGUAGUUUGCACACUCGCACCGGGAGCGCGGCGCGUCCACGGCCGUAAAACAACCCAAACUUCUGAAAUGUUGACCUCGGAUCAGGUAGGAAUACCCGCUGAACUUAAGCAUAUCAAUAAGCGGAGGA
RNAcentral lists this ribosomal RNA (617 nucleotides) under Trichoderma brevicompactum. Its description in RNAcentral is "eukaryotic LSU rRNA". The stretch from base 236 to 389 matches the Rfam family "5.8S ribosomal RNA". Lineage: Eukaryota; Fungi; Ascomycota; Sordariomycetes; Hypocreales; Hypocreaceae. The record is from RNAcentral.